CACUGCCGAGAAAAGCCUCUAGAUAGAAAAUAGGUGCCCGUACCGCAAACCGACACAGGUAGUCAAGAUGAGAAUUCUAAGGUGAGCGAGCGAACUCUCGUUAAGGAACUCGGCAAAAUGACCCCGUAACUUCGGGAGAAGGGGUGCUCUUUAGGGUUAACGCCCAGAAGAGCCGCAGUGAAUAGGCCCAAGCGACUGUUUAUCAAAAACACAGGUCUCUGCUAAACCGUAAGGUGAUGUAUAGGGGCUGACGCCUGCCCGGUGCUGGAAGGUUAAGAGGAGUGGUUAGCUUCUGCGAAGCUACGAAUCGAAGCCCCAGUAAACGGCGGCCGUAACUAUAACGGUCCUAAGGUAGCGAAAUUCCUUGUCGGGUAAGUUCCGACCCGCACGAAAGGCGUAACGAUUUGGGCACUGUCUCAACGAGAGACUCGGUGAAAUCAUAGUACCUGUGAAGAUGCAGGUUACCCGCGACAGGACGGAAAGACCCCGUGGAGCUUUACUGUAGCCUGAUAUUGAAAUUCGGCACAGCUUGUACAGGAUAGGUAGGAGCCUUUGAAACGUGAGCGCUAGCUUACGUGGAGGCGCUGGUGGGAUACUACCCUAGCUGUGUUGGCUUUCUAACCCGCACCACUUAUCGUGGUGGGAGACAGUGUCAGGCGGGCAGUUUGACUGGGGCGGUCGCCUCCUAAAAGGUAACGGAGGCGCUCAAAGGUUCCCUCAGAAUGGUUGGAAAUCAUUCAUAGAGUGUAAAGGCAUAAGGGAGCUUGACUGCGAGACCUACAAGUCGAGCAGGGUCGAAAGACGGACUUAGUGAUCCGGUGGUUCCGCAUGGAAGGGCCAUCGCUCAACGGAUAAAAGCUACCCCGGGGAUAACAGGCUUAUCUCCCCCAAGAGUUCACAUCGACGGGGAGGUUUGGCACCUCGAU
This 926-nucleotide ribosomal RNA is filed under the name Staphylococcus aureus. RNAcentral's name for it is "partial 23S ribosomal RNA". It matches the Rfam family "Bacterial large subunit ribosomal RNA", at positions 1603 to 2530 of the family's 2925-position model. Lineage: Bacteria; Bacillati; Bacillota; Bacilli; Caryophanales; Staphylococcaceae. The record is from RNAcentral.